Molecule: long non-coding RNA, 402 nt
Filed under: Prunus persica (peach)
Lineage: Eukaryota; Viridiplantae; Streptophyta; Magnoliopsida; Rosales; Rosaceae
Description: long non-coding RNA (PPER_LNC005660)
Source: RNAcentral
AAACAAUGACUUGUCAAUCGAGCGAGAGUGCGAGCAAAUUAGCUUAGAGAAUGGUUUUGCCUAAAAUGGCAUGAGACGAGUGAAAACAAGAGAAAAAUAGAAACCCAGAAAAACAAAGAGGUGGGGAGGGCAAAGAGCCAAACAUACACUAAGAGUUAGAGGAGGAAGAGAAAGGGAGAGAGAAAAAAAAAGAGAAGGGUGGCCCGCAGUUGGUGCUAAAACUUGUACGGACUGAUGGUUCAGUCGCACGAACCAACCUGAGAUUCUUCCACGUAUGAGGCCACGAGUUGGCUAAACAAGAUUUGUGGCUGCAACUUGGAUCAGCCAUUGUAGGUCUAGGCCUGUCCAUUUGAAAAUUACAAAGGUAAAAAAAAUUGCUUGGUUUUCAAGCGAUAUUAGAGA